AACGCGAAGAACCUUACCUGGGCUUGAACCGCUACUGACCAACGGUAGAAAUAUCGUCUUCCCGCAAGGGACAGUAGUAGAGGUGCUGCAUGGCUGUCGUCAGCUCGUGCCGUGAGGUGUUGGGUUAAGUCCCGCAACGAGCGCAACCCUUACUCGUAGUUGCUACCCGCAAGGGAGAACUCUACGAGGACUGCUCCGGAUAACGGAGAGGAAGGUGGGGAUGACGUCAAGUCAGCACGGCCUUUAUGUCCAGGGCUACACACGUGUUACAAUGCACGGUACAGACUGUUGCGAACCCGCGAGGGGGAGCUAAUCGGAUAAAACCGUGCUCAGUUCGGAUUGCAGUCUGCAACUCGGCUGCAUGAAGCUGGAAUCGCUAGUAAUCGCUGAUCAGCAAGCAGCGGUGAAUACGUUCCCGGGCCUUGUACACACCGCGUGUCU
RNAcentral lists this ribosomal RNA (441 nucleotides) under uncultured bacterium. RNAcentral describes it as "bacterial SSU rRNA". It matches the Rfam family "Bacterial small subunit ribosomal RNA", at positions 958 to 1399 of the family's 1533-position model. The record is from RNAcentral.